Molecule: microRNA, 22 nt
Filed under: Caenorhabditis briggsae
Lineage: Eukaryota; Metazoa; Nematoda; Chromadorea; Rhabditida; Rhabditidae
Description: Cbr-Novel-3_5p* (star (passenger))
Source: RNAcentral
CACAGAAGAUUUUGUGGUGAUA